CCCAGACUCCUACGGGAGGCAGCAGUGGGGAAUCUUGCACAAUGGGCGAAAGCCUGAUGCAGCGACGCCGCGUGGGCGAAGAAGGCCUUUGGGCCGUAAAGCCCUGUCGGGAGGGAAGAAGGAAGCGACGGUACCUCCCAAGGAAGCCCCGGCUAACUACGUGCCAGCAGCCGCGGUAACACGUAGGGGGCGAGCGUUAUCCGGAUUUACUGGGUGUAAAGGGAGCGUAGACGGCGAUGCAAGUCUGAAGUGAAAGGCGGGGGCCCAACCCCCGGACUGCUUUGGAAACUGUAUAGCUGGAGUGCAGGAGAGGUAAGUGGAAUUCCUAGUGUAGCGGUGAAAUGCGUAGAUAUUAGGAGGAACACCAGUGGCGAAGGCGGCUUACUGGACUGUAACUGACGUUGAGGCUCGAAAGCGUGGGGAGCAAACAGGAUUAGAUACCCGAGUAU
Molecule: ribosomal RNA, 449 nt
Filed under: uncultured bacterium
Lineage: Bacteria
Description: bacterial SSU rRNA
Rfam family: Bacterial small subunit ribosomal RNA
Source: RNAcentral